AUCCACCUAAGCCGUGUCCCUAGCCCUGGCCCCGCCCUGAUGUUGCCGUGUAACUCAGUUCCCGCCGUUUUAUAGGCUACCGCCCCAGCCAGGCCCCGCCCUCUGAUGUGGCCCCGCCCCCCGACGCUGACUUUUUCUGUCUUCACUUUAGCGCUGGCUCCGCCCCUAGCCUUGGCCCGCCUCAGCGCGGACUCUCAGUCUCUGCGCCUGCCACGGCCUCGUCCCGCUCAGCCCUGGCCCUGCCCCUGGAGCCGACUCUCUCCGCCUCCGCCCCGGUCCCGCCCUGGCACUGACUGUCUCCGUCUUCGCCCCUGCCCUGGCCCCGCCCCCUGCCUGCUCUGGCCCCGCCCCGCCGCUCUCUCCGUCUCCGCCUCCGCCCCCGGCUCCUCCCCGGCCCCGCCCCGGCACUGACAUUCUAUCUCUCUCCCGUCUCCGCCUCUGCCCCCCCCCCGGCCCCGCCCCUGCCCUGCGCCGGCGCUGGCUCCGUCUGCGCCUCAGCCUCGGUCCCGCCUCCAGCCCUGGCCCCGCCCCGCCGCUCUCCCCUUCUCCGCCCCUGCCCUGGCUCCGCCCCCGCCUGCCCGCGCACCGCAGAAGGCCUCCUGGAACUUCCUGGACAGCUUCUCGAUGACGCUGUAGCUCUCCACGUAAUCGACGUGUUCGUCCUGCGGCUCGCUGGCGAUCUGCCGCAGCGUGGCCUUGUCCACGCUGCCCACUCCGAUGGCGAACAGCUCGACGCCGCUGGCCCGGGCCCGCGCAGACACGUCCUGCACGCUGUCCUGGGGCCUCCCGUCUGUCACCACGAUGACCACCUGCGACACGCGGGGCGGUGUGACACCGGGCUCCCGGAAGCCCACGGGACUGUCCAGGAGAGGAGGCUGAGGCCCGGAGAGGCGGGAGGACUGCCGGGUCGCACAGCCAGGCGGCACCCGGGGGAAGAGGACCCGGCUGGCCGAAGAGGAGACCCGUUUCCUCUGACUGAGAGACGUGGCUGGGGGGCUUUCCAUCUGCUUCGCCUCCCUCGGGCAGGCAGCUCUGAGAUGCCCGGAGGGAUGUGAUGCCCCAUCGCCAAAUUGGGGUCUCUAAGGUCAGGGCCAUGCCUUCCCCUCAGACUGAGGCGGCUGAGGGCAGGGUCCUCAGGCUGAUGGCUGUGGGAGUCGUGCCACGCCCCUCGUGCCCCCGGGAGGCCCGGCCGGGGCUGGGUGGGGGGAUCCGGUGGUUCCACAUGGUGCAGUUCUGCGCUUUGGCCACCAGAUGGCAGCCGAAGCUAAGGGAUGGGGCUGCCGUCUCCCGUCUUGCUGUCCUUGUCCCGGUAAGACCGGGGACCCUGGACCAGGGAACCGACGGAGGGCCACUCCCAUGUGGAUGCCCAAGGGACCAACCCAAGAAAGAUGCCGCCCUUAUCCUCCUCCACUCCCCGGUAUGAUACAUGCCCCUGCCAGAGAGGGAAAGAAUCUGCCUGCUCCCCUCCCACUAGGCUCCUCUGGUCUGUACCCUGGAAAGAAAGAGGUGGCGGACUCUGUCACUGAGAUCCGGCUUCGUGACCCCCUGUCUGCACCCGCCCUGAGGCUAGGGCGCUCCCAGCUCUGCCCAGUCUGGGUUAGGCAUCCAGUCCCGCUUUGCUGCUUCUCUGCUUCUGACUUGGGUCUGUUUCUGAUUCCUGGGUCCCAUCCUUAGCCCCAGGUCCUGACACCCUGUCCUGAUGACAGGCAGUUGAGACAGGCCGUGUUUAGAAAUGCAGCUCCACAAGCUACAGGUCACCUUCCUGAGCCUCAGUGUCUUCAACUGUAAAAAGGGUUGUGGUGAGGUUGAGUGAGAUGACUCCUGGUUAGAAGCCAGAAGGGGCAACUAUUAUUUUUACCAUCAUUACCCUGGGCUACCUGGGGAGUGACUUUGUACAAUCUCUUCCUCUCCAGGGGCCUGGGCUCCUGGCUCUGAAAAUCUAGCUGUGACUAUUCGCUGCCAUCCCGAGGCCCACUGCCUCCUCGAGUCCCUACUCCCCUCCCUGCAACCCAGCUUUCAGAUUGUCCACCUUGCUGGGUCCUCCCACAGGUGAACUCCAGGCUGAACACCUGGAGUCUGGUGCCAGCUCCCCCAGCGCCGCUGUGUCACCUGCUGGAGGAGCUCUCUCCUCACUUGCCCACCCCACGCCACCACCCCCAUCUCCUUCACCCUCUCCACCACCUCAACCAUCAGCUUCAUCUACAGCACCCCGUGCUGAAACUUGUAGUUGGCCCCAAGACCGACAGGCUGCCUGAUACGUCAUUUCUCUAAGGGGUGGUAAUGGCUGGGAUUAUAUGCUGUUGUCUCUGUGAAUGCUUUUCCCACUUAUUGGCUGAGCAAGUUGCUUAAGCUUCUUAUGCCUCAGUUUCACCAUCUGUAAAAUGGGGAUACCACCUCCGAGCAGAAUCAUGUUCAUUUAUCCACUGUGUGCUAGAGAGUGGGGUAUGGAGGAGGGAUAAGAAAGAACCUCCCCUGAGCUGGGGCCCUGAGCAGGGAAGUGGCGACUCGGGCUAACGAAGGCUGCAGUGGGGAAGUGCUGGAGCCUGUGGGGGUGCCACAGGAACAGAGGACACCUGGCUUAGCCUCAGGUUCUGUGCUGAGCCCUGAACAUGACAGUGAGGAUACAAGUCCUGGGAAACGCUCAGCCCUCUGCCUGGAGCCCUCACUGACAGCACAGGUGGCAGCACAGCCCUUCCAUUUCUGAGCCCCUGCCCUCGGAGAAUUAUGAAAUUAAAAAUUAUCAAAUGCCAUGAUGGGAAGCCUUAUGCUUUUGAACUCAGUCCUCAGCAGCACUUGGAGAAGGUGUUAUCAUUACUCCCAUUUUACAGGUGAGGAAACCGAGCACCAGUGACAUGACGUCACUUGCUCGGGGUGGCACAGCUAGUAUGGUGGAGCAGGGCGUGAACCCAGGCAGGCUGGUGGCGGAGGCCACACCUUCACUCCUCCCAUAAGCAUCUGGCCUGUCUGCAAUGUCUUCAAGGGGCUCAGACUGGUCGGGAACCAAGGUCAACUAAACUGAAAUGAUUGUAUGAAAUGGCCACCUCACGGGGCAUCAUGGGAAUCAAAGUGUCUGCAGGCAAAGCUCAUAACUCCGAGCGGGAGCCUCCAAACAGCAGCAUCCUAGCAGGGUGGCGUGCACGUACCUUGCUGAUGUCAGGGGACCUGGAACGACCACCCUCUGCAUCGCCGAAGGCUUUGGUGAUAGCGAACUGGAUGGCCAGGCCGGUCAUGGUGCCUGUGGACAGCGGCUGGAUACGGCGCACAGCCUGCAGCAGUGCGGCCUUGGAGACAUGAGCCCGCAGCGAGAACUCCUGCUUCACGGUGCUGGCAUAGUUGACCAUGCCCACCCGGGUGGCAUUGGGCCCCACGUCCAGCGACUCGAUGACCUGGGACAGGAAUACCUUCACUUUCUCAAAUUCAACAGGCCGAACGCUGCGAGAGCUGUCGACAACAAACACCAGGUUAUAAACCACCCAGGGUCACACAAGGGCCAUCCACGGUGACCAGCGGUGAGAAACGCAAUGCUGUCCUCGUGCCAUGCUGGAGGUGAACGAGGAGAACGUGAGCUGGGGUCUCCUCACCAACUGCUCCCCCCACCCCAACCCCCCUGACGGCCAGGGCUGUGUCCAGGGCUCAGGGCACAAGGCUCCGUUAGCUGGGCAGCAGCUGGCCCAUGAAACAGCCCUUUCAGCUCCACCUCUGAAUGGCAGUUCUAUGGGCUCCUCGGAAGAACACAGGCGCCUUCUCUGUGUCACUUCUCCGCUCAUUAGCAGAGCUGCAGAAAUACACUACAGGACUCAAAAUUGAGAACAGUGUGUCCGGUAUGAGCCAGAAGGAAAAAAAAAUGCACGAAGGGGCCUUCUGCAAGGUUGCUCACAAGUCAAACAGGCAGCUGUGAAGGGCUCUGCUGUUCCCUCCUCCUGUUUUCACAUCCCUCGGGCUUCCAGAAACUUAAAGCCGUUAGUGUUUCAUGCAAGAGAGAGCAUCUGUGAUCCACGGAGAGGCCCCUGGGCAGUGUGGUUCAGUGGGAAGCACACAGGACUCCCUCCCCAGUGCUCCCAGGAUCAGCUCUUUCCCUAAAGAGCAAACCUGGUUAUCUCGCAAUGACCUAGCUAACACAAAUGCAACAUCAGCCGGGGCAGCCUGCCCCCUUCACUCUUUGCCCACCAUCAGCUGUUUGGCAGUAUCCAUAUACGCCUUUACCAGUAUUUAUUUAAUCUUUUUGUUUAAUUCACUCUAAACCAACUCACUUCUUAAAAAUUUCUCUGCCUUAUAAGAAAUAAUAGCCAUGAAAUCACUGGUUUGAUGUACGGUUUAUUUAUUUAUUCCAAUAAACACUCAUUCAAUAUAAAAUUCAAAUAAAUUCAAAACUAAUUAAAU
RNAcentral lists this long non-coding RNA (4380 nucleotides) under Homo sapiens (human). RNAcentral's name for it is "long non-coding RNA NONHSAT148633.1". The record is from RNAcentral. Lineage: Eukaryota; Metazoa; Chordata; Mammalia; Primates; Hominidae.